Molecule: ribosomal RNA, 365 nt
Filed under: uncultured eukaryote
Lineage: Eukaryota
Description: partial 18S ribosomal RNA
Rfam family: Eukaryotic small subunit ribosomal RNA
Source: RNAcentral
CAAUAGCGUAUAUUUAAGUUGUUGCAGUUAAAAAGUUCGUAGUCGGAUUUUGGCUGAGAACGAUCGGUCCGCCGUUAGGUGUGCACUGAUUGGUCUCAGCUUCCUGGUGAGGAGGUGUGCUUCACGGCCACUUAGUCACCGUGGUUACUUUGAAAAAAUUAGAGUGUUCAAAGCGGGCUUACGCUUGAAUAUAUUAGCAUGGAAUAACACCAUAGGACUCCUGUCCUAUUUCGUUGGUCUCGGGACGGGAGUAAUGAUUAAGAGGAACAGUUGGGGGCAUUCGUAUUUCAUUGUCAGAGGUGAAAUUCUUGGAUUUAUGAAAGACGAACUUCUGCGAAAGCAUUUGCCAAGGAUGUUUUCAUUGA